GGCGGACGGGUGAGUAAUGUCUGGGGAUCUGCCUGAUGGAGGGGGAUAACUACUGGAAACGGUAGCUAAUACCGCAUAACGUCGCAAGACCAAAGUGGGGGACCUUCGGGCCUCAUGCCAUCAGAUGAACCCAGAUGGGAUUAGCUAGUAGGUGAGGUAAUGGCUCACCUAGGCGACGAUCCCUAGCUGGUCUGAGAGGAUGACCAGCCACACUGGAACUGAGACACGGUCCAGACUCCUACGGGAGGCAGCAGUGGGGAAUAUUGCACAAUGGGCGCAAGCCUGAUGCAGCCAUGCCGCGUGUAUGAAGAAGGCCUUCGGGUUGUAAAGUACUUUCAGUAGGGAGGAAGGUGUGCGUGUUAAUAGCACGUGCAAUUGACGUUACCUACAGAAGAAGCACCGGCUAACUCCGUGCCAGCAGCCGCGGUAAUACGGAGGGUGCAAGCGUUAAUCGGAAUUACUGGGCGUAAAGCGCACGCAGGCGGUUUGUUAAGUUGGAUGUGAAAUCCCCGGGCUUAACCUGGGAACUGCAUCCAAGACUGGCAAGCUAGAGUCUCGUAGAGGGAGGUAGAAUUCCAGGUGUAGCGGUGAAAUGCGUAGAGAUCUGGAGGAAUACCGGUGGCGAAGGCGGCCUCCUGGACGAAGACUGACGCUCAGGUGCGAAAGCGUGGGGAGCAAACAGGAUUAGAUACCCUGGUAGUCCACGCUGUAAACGAUGUCGAUUUGGAGGUUGUGCCCUUGAGGCGUGGCUUCCGAAGCUAACGCGUUAAAUCGACCGCCUGGGGAGUACGGCCGCAAGGUUAAAACUCAAAUGAAUUGACGGGGGCCCGCACAAGCGGUGGAGCAUGUGGUUUAAUUCGAUGCAACGCGAAGAACCUUACCUACUCUUGACAUCCAGCGAAUCCUGUAGAGAUACGGGAGUGCCUUCGGGAACGCUGAGACAGGUGCUGCAUGGCUGUCGUCAGCUCGUGUUGUGAAAUGUUGGGUUAAGUCCCGCAACGAGCGCAACCCUUAUCCUUUGUUGCCAGCGGUUCGGCCGGGAACUCAAAG
RNAcentral lists this ribosomal RNA (1050 nucleotides) under Edwardsiella tarda. Its description in RNAcentral is "bacterial SSU rRNA". It matches the Rfam family "Bacterial small subunit ribosomal RNA", at positions 97 to 1144 of the family's 1533-position model. The record is from RNAcentral. Lineage: Bacteria; Pseudomonadati; Pseudomonadota; Gammaproteobacteria; Enterobacterales; Hafniaceae.